ACGGCUCAGUAACACGUGGAUAACCUGCCCUUUGGGUCUGGGAUAACCCCGGGAAACUGGGGAUAAUACCGGAUAACGCAUAUAUGCUGGAAUGCUUUAUGCGUAAAAUGGAUUCGUCUGCCCAAGGAUGGGUCUGCGGCCUAUCAGGUAGUAGUGGGUGUAAUGUACCUACUAGCCUACAACGGGUACGGGUUGUGAGAGCAAGAGCCCGGAGAUGGAUUCUGAGACAUGAAUCCAGGCCCUACGGGGCGCAGCAGGCGCGAAAACUUUACAAUGCGGGAAACCGUGAUAAGGGGACACCGAGUGCCAGCAUCAUAUGUUGGCUGUCCAGAUGUGUAAAAUACAUCUGUUAGCAAGGGCCGGGCAAGACCGGUGCCAGCCGCCGCGGUAACACCGGCGGCCCGAGUGGUGAUCGUGAUUAUUGGGUCUAAAGGGUCCGUAGCCGGUUUGGUCAGUCCUCCGGGAAAUCUGACGGCUCAACCGUUAGGCUUUCGGUGGAUACUGCCAGACUUGGAACCGGGAGAGGUAAGAGGUACUACAGGGGUAGGAGUGAAAUCUUGUAAUCCCUGUGAGACCACCUGUGGCGAAGGCGUCUUACCAGAACGGGUUCGACGGUGAGGGACGAAAGCUGGGGGCACGAACCGGAUUAGAUACCCGGGUAGUCCCAGCCGUAAACGAUGCUCGCUAGGUGUCAGGCAUGGCGCGACCGUGUCUGGUGCCGCAGGGAAGCCGUGAAGCGAGCCACCUGGGAAGUACGGCCGCAAGGCUGAAACUUAAAGGAAUUGGCGGGGGAGCAC
RNAcentral lists this ribosomal RNA (797 nucleotides) under uncultured archaeon. Its description in RNAcentral is "bacterial SSU rRNA". It matches the Rfam family "Archaeal small subunit ribosomal RNA", at positions 85 to 879 of the family's 1478-position model. The record is from RNAcentral.